GUAGGGAAGAAGCGAAAGUGACGGUACCUGCAGAAAGAAGCGCCGGCUAACUACGUGCCAGCAGCCGCGGUAAUACGUAGGGCGCAAGCGUUAUCCGGAAUUAUUGGGCGUAAAGAGCUCGUAGGCGGUUUGUCGCGUCUGCCGUGAAAGUCCGGGGCUCAACUCCGGAUCUGCGGUGGGUACGGGCAGACUAGAGUGAUGUAGGGGAGACUGGAAUUCCUGGUGUAGCGGUGAAAUGCGCAGAUAUCAGGAGGAACACCGAUGGCGAAGGCAGGUCUCUGGGCAUUAACUGACGCUGAGGAGCGAAAGCAUGGGGAGCGAACAGGAUUAGAUACCCUGGUAGUCCAUGCCGUAAACGUUGGGCACUAGGUGUGGGGGACAUUCCACGUUUUCCGCGCCGUAGCUAACGCAUUAAGUGCCCCGCCUGGGGAGUACGGCCGCAAGGCUAAAACUCAAAGGAAUUGACGGGGGCCCGCACAAGCGGCGGAGCAUGCGGAUUAAUUCGAUGCAACGCGAAGAACCUUACCAAGGCUUGACAUGGGCCGGACCGGGCUGGAAACAGUCCUUCCCCUUUGGGGCCGGUUCACAGGUGGUGCAUGGUUGUCGUCAGCUCGUGUCGUGAGAUGUUGGGUUAAGUCCCGCAACGAGCGCAACCCUCGUUCCAUGUUGCCAGCGCGUAAUGGCGGGGACUCAUGGGAGACUGCCGGGGUCAACUCGGAGGAAGGUGGGGACGACGUCAAAUCAUCAUGCCCCUUAUGUCUUGGGCUUCACGCAUGCUACAAUGGCCGGUACAAAGGGUUGCGAUACUGUGAGGUGGAGCUAAUCCCAAAAAGCCGGUCUCAGUUCGGAUUGGGGUCUGCAACUCGACCCCAUGAAGUCGGAGUCGCUAGUAAUCGCAGAUCAGCAACGCUGCGGUGAAUACGUUCCCGGGCCUUGUACACACCGCCCGUCAAGUCACGAAAGUUGGUAACACCCGAAGCCGGUGGCCUAACCCCUUGUGGGAGGGAGCUGUCGAAGGUGAAUCG
This 1025-nucleotide ribosomal RNA is filed under the name Arthrobacter sp. RNAcentral describes it as "bacterial SSU rRNA". It matches the Rfam family "Bacterial small subunit ribosomal RNA", at positions 439 to 1470 of the family's 1533-position model. Lineage: Bacteria; Bacillati; Actinomycetota; Actinomycetes; Micrococcales; Micrococcaceae. The record is from RNAcentral.